RNAcentral lists this ribosomal RNA (1200 nucleotides) under Triticum aestivum (bread wheat). RNAcentral's name for it is "partial small subunit ribosomal RNA". The record is from RNAcentral. Lineage: Eukaryota; Viridiplantae; Streptophyta; Magnoliopsida; Poales; Poaceae.
AUGUUUGAAGACCUACGCACAGCAGUAGAACAAGCUCAGAGUGAAACUGAAAAUCAAGAUGCUAACAAUGGUGGAAACCCUUCUGAGAAUGAGUCUUUUUUGAAGGAUGUGAUGAAGGAGGCAAAAUGGCAGCUUUAUCAUGGUUGUACCAAGUUUUCAAGGUUCUCCUUUGUGGUAAAGCUUCUUCACUUGAAGUCAUACCAUAGGAUCCCGAAUAGUGCAUUUAUUGAAAUUUUGAAGCUAUUAGCUGAAGCAUUCCCUGAACCCAAUACGCUCCCAAAAUCGUAUAAGGAAGCAAAGAACCUUCUAAAGGAAUUAGGCCUUGGGUAUGAGUCUAUACAUGUGUGCUUCAAUAAUUGCAUUCUGUUCAGAAAGCAAUAUGUCAAUCAUGACAAUUGCCCAGUUUGUGGCCUAUCAAGGUGGAAAGACCCUGCUAAAAAGAAGAUUCCACAGAAAGUGUUGAGGCAUUUUCCAUUGGUGCCUAGGCUAAAGAGGAUGUUUCUUUCCAAAAAAGGCGCAGAAGAAGCACAAUGGCAUGAGCUAAAGAGGCAGCCCAAUGAGAAGGAACUGAGUCAUCCAAAAGAUGGUGAUGCGUGGAAGGAUUUCGAUGAAAAAUUUCCAGAAUUUGCAAAAGAUGCCAGAAACUUUAGGCUUGGCAUUGCCACUGAUGGGUUCAGUCCUUUUGGAAAUUUUAACACAACCUAUAGUAUGUGGCCUGUAUUUGUUAUACCAUACAACCUUCCACCUUGGGCAUGCAUGGAUCAGUCAAAUUUUAUGAUGGCUCUACUGAUUCCAGGUCCCAAAUCACCUGGCAAGCACUUCGAUGUCUUUCUACAACCACUUGUGGAAGAAUUACUUGAGCUCUGGGAGGGUGUACGUACAUAUGAUGCUCUUACUGGAAAAAUGUUUGAUCUUCAUGCUGCAGCUCUAUGGUGCAUUCACGAUUACCCAGCUCUGAGCACUCUUUCAGGGCAUACCACAAGAGGCUAUUUUGCAUGUAUUCAUUGUGACAAACACCCACUUUCUUACAGCCUAAGGAGUAAAAUUGGGUAUAUUGGUCACCAUCGUUUCCGUCCAAGGGGUCAUCGUUUGCGGAGAAACAAUGAAUUUGUUGGUCUUCAUGAAAGCAAUGAUGAGCCAGGUAAAUUCUCUGAGAAAGAGUUGCAAGCAGAAUUGGAGAAGGUUAGACCUGGGAGAUAA